CAAGUUUGUACAUACAUCCUUCUACUUACUGAAUGUCUGUUUUUCAUGAAGGAAUCCCGUCGACUCUAUCAGUUUCAUUACGUGAACUGGCCAGACCAUGAUGUCCCUUCGUCAUUCGAUUCUAUCCUGGACAUGAUAAGUCUAAUGAGGAAGUACCAAGAGCACGAAGAUGUGCCUAUUUGUAUCCAUUGCAGGUACAGGAACAUAUUCUCAGUCGAGAGAAGUAUGCUUAAGUUCUGUGAAAUAAAGUUUUAUUUCUACAUCAGUAUGAUGCUUUAUUAUAUCUUGAACUUUCCUAGCCCUGUUACAGUAUGUUUGAGAGUGAGACCCUGUGAAUUGUUAGAAUCUAAUCCAGUUAGUAGAUUGUCCAAAUGUUACAGUGAAACAUCACCCUAUUCCCUGAUGUGAUCAAUCAGGCAAAUUUUCAUGAAUGAUAGAGUCUCAGACUUUAAAAGAUGUAUUUAGACCUGAACGGUCUCACUGAUCUGAGAUACUGUUGGUCUCCAGAGAGGUGCUGUGUGUAGGGAACAUGCUUAUAAUCCCAGAACCAAGGCGGCUA
RNAcentral lists this long non-coding RNA (559 nucleotides) under Rattus norvegicus (Norway rat). RNAcentral describes it as "long non-coding RNA NONRATT020160". The record is from RNAcentral. Lineage: Eukaryota; Metazoa; Chordata; Mammalia; Rodentia; Muridae.